GAUGAACGCUGGCGGCGUGCCUAACACAUGCAAGUCGAGCGAACAGACGAGGAGCUUGCUCCUCUGACGUUAGCGGCGGACGGGUGAGUAACACGUGGAUAACCUACCUAUAAGACUGGGAUAACUUCGGGAAACCGGAGCUCAUACCGGAUAAUAUAUUGUACCGCAUGGUUCAAUAGUGAAAGACGGUUUUGCUGUCACUUAUAGAUGGAUCCGCGCCGCAUUAGCUAGUUGGUAAGGUAACGGCUUACCAAGGCAACGAUGCGUAGCUGACCUGAGAGGGUGAUCAGCCACACUGGAACUGAGACACGGUCCAGACUCCUACGGGAGGCAGCAGUAGGGAAUCUUGCGCAAUGGGCGAAAGCUUGACGGAGCAACGCCGCGUGAGUGAUGAAGGUCUUCGGAUCGUAAAACUCUGUUAUUAGGGAAGAACAAAUGUGUAAGUAACUAUGCACGUCUUGACGGUACCUAAUCAGAAAGCCACGGCUAACUACGUG
RNAcentral lists this ribosomal RNA (497 nucleotides) under uncultured bacterium. RNAcentral's name for it is "partial 16S ribosomal RNA". It matches the Rfam family "Bacterial small subunit ribosomal RNA", at positions 28 to 507 of the family's 1533-position model. The record is from RNAcentral.